This 1568-nucleotide ribosomal RNA is filed under the name Limosilactobacillus fermentum. RNAcentral describes it as "Lactobacillus fermentum 16S ribosomal RNA". It matches the Rfam family "Bacterial small subunit ribosomal RNA". The record is from RNAcentral. Lineage: Bacteria; Bacillati; Bacillota; Bacilli; Lactobacillales; Lactobacillaceae.
AGAGUUUGAUCAUGGCUCAGGAUGAACGCCGGCGGUGUGCCUAAUACAUGCAAGUCGAACGCGUUGGCCCAAUUGAUUGAUGGUGCUUGCACCUGAUUGAUUUUGGUCGCCAACGAGUGGCGGACGGGUGAGUAACACGUAGGUAACCUGCCCAGAAGCGGGGGACAACAUUUGGAAACAGAUGCUAAUACCGCAUAACAGCGUUGUUCGCAUGAACAACGCUUAAAAGAUGGCUUCUCGCUAUCACUUCUGGAUGGACCUGCGGUGCAUUAGCUUGUUGGUGGGGUAACGGCCUACCAAGGCGAUGAUGCAUAGCCGAGUUGAGAGACUGAUCGGCCACAAUGGGACUGAGACACGGCCCAUACUCCUACGGGAGGCAGCAGUAGGGAAUCUUCCACAAUGGGCGCAAGCCUGAUGGAGCAACACCGCGUGAGUGAAGAAGGGUUUCGGCUCGUAAAGCUCUGUUGUUAAAGAAGAACACGUAUGAGAGUAACUGUUCAUACGUUGACGGUAUUUAACCAGAAAGUCACGGCUAACUACGUGCCAGCAGCCGCGGUAAUACGUAGGUGGCAAGCGUUAUCCGGAUUUAUUGGGCGUAAAGAGAGUGCAGGCGGUUUUCUAAGUCUGAUGUGAAAGCCUUCGGCUUAACCGGAGAAGUGCAUCGGAAACUGGAUAACUUGAGUGCAGAAGAGGGUAGUGGAACUCCAUGUGUAGCGGUGGAAUGCGUAGAUAUAUGGAAGAACACCAGUGGCGAAGGCGGCUACCUGGUCUGCAACUGACGCUGAGACUCGAAAGCAUGGGUAGCGAACAGGAUUAGAUACCCUGGUAGUCCAUGCCGUAAACGAUGAGUGCUAGGUGUUGGAGGGUUUCCGCCCUUCAGUGCCGGAGCUAACGCAUUAAGCACUCCGCCUGGGGAGUACGACCGCAAGGUUGAAACUCAAAGGAAUUGACGGGGGCCCGCACAAGCGGUGGAGCAUGUGGUUUAAUUCGAAGCUACGCGAAGAACCUUACCAGGUCUUGACAUCUUGCGCCAACCCUAGAGAUAGGGCGUUUCCUUCGGGAACGCAAUGACAGGUGGUGCAUGGUCGUCGUCAGCUCGUGUCGUGAGAUGUUGGGUUAAGUCCCGCAACGAGCGCAACCCUUGUUACUAGUUGCCAGCAUUAAGUUGGGCACUCUAGUGAGACUGCCGGUGACAAACCGGAGGAAGGUGGGGACGACGUCAGAUCAUCAUGCCCCUUAUGACCUGGGCUACACACGUGCUACAAUGGACGGUACAACGAGUCGCGAACUCGCGAGGGCAAGCAAAUCUCUUAAAACCGUUCUCAGUUCGGACUGCAGGCUGCAACUCGCCUGCACGAAGUCGGAAUCGCUAGUAAUCGCGGAUCAGCAUGCCGCGGUGAAUACGUUCCCGGGCCUUGUACACACCGCCCGUCACACCAUGAGAGUUUGUAACACCCAAAGUCGGUGGGGUAACCUUUUAGGAGCCAGCCGCCUAAGGUGGGACAGAUGAUUAGGGUGAAGUCGUAACAAGGUAGCCGUAGGAGAACCUGCGGUUGGAUCACCUCCUU